This 242-nucleotide unclassified non-coding RNA is filed under the name Hevea brasiliensis (rubber tree). The record is from RNAcentral. Lineage: Eukaryota; Viridiplantae; Streptophyta; Magnoliopsida; Malpighiales; Euphorbiaceae.
AAGGGAACAUAAUGACACUGUCCUUUCAUCUUUGUCUUCCAUGGAUGUGGAGGAACUUUUGUCAGAUGUUAGAAGUGACCCUACCACACCUGCCAGUAGCAGGACCAGAGGAAGCGUUUGUGUGUCUAGCGGUAGUUUCCAUAAUGAAGAUGUAACACCAGAUACAUUGUCUACUGCAGCAAUUGACGUUGAUCAAAUUGAUUUGGUUGAUGAAUUGGACCAUCCAUAUAUACUUUCUGGAG